CCUACGGGGGGCAGCAGUGGGGAAUAUUGCGCAAUGGGCGAAAGCCUGACGCAGCGACGCCGCGUGAGGGAUGAAGGUCUUCGGAUCGUAAACCUCUGUCAGCAGGGAAGAACGGUCACUGUGCUAAUCAGCAGUGAAUUGACGGUACCUGCAAAGGAAGCACCGGCUAACUCCGUGCCAGCAGCCGCGGUAAUACGGAGGUUGCGAGCGUUAAUCGGAAUUACUGGGCGUAAAGGGCUCGUAGGCGGUAUGUCAAGUCAAGGGUGAAAGCCCCGCGCUCAACGUGGGAACUGCCUUGGAAACUGGCAAACUGGAGGGGGUGAGAGGAUAGUGGAAGUGCAGGUGUAGGAGUGAAAUCCGUAGAUAUCUGGAGGAACAUCAGUGGCGAAGGCGACUAUCUGGCACAUAACUGACGCUGAGGAGCGAAAGCGUGGGUAGCAAACAGGAUUAGAUACCCGUGUAGUC
This 465-nucleotide ribosomal RNA is filed under the name uncultured bacterium. Its description in RNAcentral is "partial 16S ribosomal RNA". It matches the Rfam family "Bacterial small subunit ribosomal RNA", at positions 338 to 795 of the family's 1533-position model. The record is from RNAcentral.